AACCGGACCAAGCGAAAUACAGGGGCAGAGGAGGCAGCAGGGAGGCCCUGGGAGCUCUUUGAAUCCCCAGGUAGCCUAUUCCUGCCUGGCACCACUGGGAUUCAUCAGGAGGGAGGCCAGAGGAGCAGGAGGUGGGAGGCGGAAAGCCUCGGGCAAGUUUUCAAGCCCGUCCUCUGUCUGGAAACAGACUCAGAGGUGUUGCAGGGGACACGGUGGGAGUGAGACCAGCCCUUCGGUGUGCGUGGGAUCUGGGGGAGGCCUGUGACUGCCGGCUUUCCCCUGCUUCUCUGACAACCUGCAUGACUCAGCAGAGGCAGCCAUAAUCCUGGAGAGCCCCGGUUUAAGAUCUCCAGGUGAAGUAGAUUUUUAUUUCAGAACCUUCAGGAAGGGGAGAGUGGCUCAUGGGCUGAGUGGAUAAACCACAAAAUGGGUAAUAUACUAUAGGUGGGGCUCCUGGAAAGAUGGGUUAAUCCUGCCUAUAGCAGGGAAUAGGCAACCGGACCUUCCUAGGGACGAGCGAUUCCUCGAGGAUAAGGAUUUAGACUUUAAUGUCUCCCUAGCAAAAGGGUUGAAG
This is a long non-coding RNA of Homo sapiens (human), 574 nucleotides long. Ensembl annotates it as arachidonate 12-lipoxygenase pseudogene 2. Its record names the gene ALOX12P2. Lineage: Eukaryota; Metazoa; Chordata; Mammalia; Primates; Hominidae. The record is from Ensembl.